AUGCUGAGGUCUGAUGACGAGUCACUACGGUGGCGAAGUAGCUCAUGCCCCGCUUCCAGGAAAAGCCUCUAAGCUCUAGAUUAUCACUAAUCGUACCCCAAACCGACACAGGUGGUCAGGUAGAGAAUACUCAGGCGCUUGAGAGAACUCGGGUGAAGGAACUAGGCAAAAUGGUGCCGUAACUUCGGGAGAAGGCACGCUGGCGCUAGGUGAAGUGGUUUACCCAUGGAGCUGAAGCCAGUCGCAGAUACCAGCUGGCUGCAACUGUUUAUUAAAAACACAGCACUGUGCAAACACGAAAGUGGACGUAUACGGUGUGACGCCUGCCCGGUGCUGGAAGGUUAAUUGAUGGGGUUAUCCGUAAGGAGAAGCUCUUGAUCGAAGCCCCAGUAAACGGCGGCCGUAACUAUAACGGUCCUAAGGUAGCGAAAUUCCUUGUCGGGUAAGUUCCGACCUGCACGAAUGGCGUAAUGAUGGCCAGGCUGUCUCCACCCGAGACUCAGUGAAAUUGAACUCGCUGUGAAGAUGCAGUGUACCCGCGGCAAGACGGAAAGACCCCGUGAACCUUUACUAUAGCUUGACACUGAACAUUGAGCCUUGAUGUGUAGGAUAGGUGGGAGGCUUUGAAGUGUGGACGCCAGUCUGCAUGGAGCCAACCUUGAAAUACCACCCUUUAAUGUUUGAUGUUCUAACGUUGCCCCGUUAUCCGGGGUGCGGACAGUGUCUGGUGGGUAGUUUGACUGGGGCGGUCUCCUCCCAAAGAGUAACGGAGGAGCACGAAGGUUGGCUAAGCAUGGUCGGACAUCAUGCGGUUAGUGCAAAGGCAUAAGCCAGCUUGACUGCGAGAGUGACGGCUCGAGCAGGUACGAAAGUAGGUCUUAGUGAUCCGGUGGUUCUGAAUGGAAGGGCCAUCGCUCAACGGAUAAAAGGUACUCCGGGGAUAACAGGCUGAUACCGCCCAAGAGUUCAUAUCGACGGCGGUGUUUGGCACCUCGAUGUCGGCUCAUCACAUCCUGGGGCUGAAGUAGGUCCCAAGGGUACGGCUGUUCGCCGUUUAAAGUGGUACGCGAGCUGGGUUUAGAACGUCGUGAGACAGUUCGGUCCCUAUCUGCCGUGGGCGUUGGAAGAUUGAAAGGGGCUGCUCCUAGUACGAGAGGACCGGAGUGGACGCACCACUGGUGUUCGGGUUGUCAUGCCAAUGGCAUUGCCCGGUAGCUAAGUGCGGAAGAGAUAACCGCUGAAAGCAUCUAAGCGGGAAACUUGCCUUGAGAUGAGUCUUCCCUGACCCUUUAAGGGUCCUAAAGGAACGUUUAAGACUAAGACGUUGAUAGGUUGGGUGUGUAAGCAUAGCGAUAUGUUGAGCUAACCAAUACUAAUGAACCGUGAGGCUUAACCUGACAACACCGAAGGUGUUUUAG
RNAcentral lists this ribosomal RNA (1418 nucleotides) under Providencia rettgeri. Its description in RNAcentral is "partial 23S ribosomal RNA". It matches the Rfam family "Bacterial large subunit ribosomal RNA", at positions 1553 to 2925 of the family's 2925-position model. Lineage: Bacteria; Pseudomonadati; Pseudomonadota; Gammaproteobacteria; Enterobacterales; Morganellaceae. The record is from RNAcentral.